This 72-nucleotide transfer RNA is filed under the name Bos taurus (domestic cattle). It matches the Rfam family "tRNA". Rfam says of the family: Transfer RNA (tRNA) molecules are approximately 80 nucleotides in length. Their secondary structure includes four short double-helical elements and three loops (D, anti-codon, and T loops). The record is from Rfam by way of RNAcentral. Lineage: Eukaryota; Metazoa; Chordata; Mammalia; Artiodactyla; Bovidae. RNAcentral also lists the same sequence under 4 other names.
UCUCUGGUGGCUCAGAGGGUAAAGCAUCUGCCUGCAAUGCAGGAGACUUGGGUUUGAUCCCUGGGCGGGGAA